RNAcentral lists this long non-coding RNA (3320 nucleotides) under Brassica rapa (field mustard). RNAcentral describes it as "long non-coding RNA (BRAP_LNC003987)". Lineage: Eukaryota; Viridiplantae; Streptophyta; Magnoliopsida; Brassicales; Brassicaceae. The record is from RNAcentral.
UUCGGUUCACGAGACUGAGGUAGCCUAAACCGGAAGCGGCGUCGUCUUGGUUACGUGGGACAACGAGGAAGGCGAAACCGUGACCAGGGAUAGGGUUUGUGUUGUGAGGAGUGAUGGAGAAAGUGAAAGAGGUUGUGAAAGGGUAAACAGAAGAGGCGUUGUUGGGAGGCUUGAAGGUGAUUGGGUUGAUGUAAAUGGCUCGACCAUGAGAGAAAGGAAUUCUGAAUUGGGUCAAACCGAGAGCACCCGACCGGCUCAUCCGACCGGCGUCGGGACCAUACUCUGCGUCUCCAUGGAACGAGAAGAGAUCAGAGCCAUUAAUACCGAAGUUGUUGAAUUGGAGUCUGUAGGCAGAAGUGGCUUGAGAGAUGGAGAUAGCUAUGAAGAGAGUGAUGAAGCAGAGUGUUUGCAUGGUCAUCUUUGCUCUCUUUUAGAGAAGUGAAGUCAAGAUGAUGAACUUUAUAAAGAUGGAAGUUGUUGUAAAGUUGUUGUAAUAAUGUGAUGGUGACAAGUUCGAGAAAACUUUUUACUCCCUUUGGAUUUUAAAAAUUAAUAUUUAGGAUUACAUAUUAAUAUAUAGAUAUUUUAAUUUAUAAGCUUUUGUUACUUUUAUUUGUUUCUUAAUAAAGUUAUACUACUCAUAUUUUUAGAUUUUAAUUUAUGUUUUAGAGUUAAAACAAAAUGUAUUAAUAAUUCAUUUUUAAUAUAAUUAGAAAAAUUAAAAAAUUAAUUAUGUGUAUGCAGAGAGAGUAUGGUUCAACAAGAAAAGUAAUGGUAAUGGUGAAAAACAAAGGACAAUGAAACUGAAUUAGUUGACAAAAAAAAAAAACUGACUUAUGAAUUAAAUUAUAAUGGCAUUAGAUGACAAAAGUUGUUUUCGAAGUUCCCAAGACAUGUCUUCUUUUCAUGCUGGAAAUAGAACUUUAUAACUGGUGGAGAGAAUAAAAACACAAUAGAAUUAAAUUCUGGAAAUCUUCUAAUUUGUUGUCAUAUGCUCAUAUAGUCAUAUCCUUUGCUCCUUUUGAUCAACCAAAAUAUAAUAAAACUCAAAAUAGAAUUAAAUUCUAGUUUAACUACUUUACAUUUUUACUUUAACUACUUUACUUUUUACUCUAAAAUAAAGUAAGGAGUAAAUACAGAGAAAUACUGAAAAGCAUACAAUUGUUUCAUUUAAAAAUAAUUUCACUUUUUACUUUAUUUUAAAAUUAAAAAAUGGAUAUGAUUAAGAAAUUAAAAAAUGGAUAUGGUUAAUAAAAUUUAUUCCAAAAUAGAAUUUAUAGUAUAAAAUGGAGUUCAGUCAAAAAAUUUAAGAAUAUUUUAUUGUAUUACUCUAUUUUUUAUUUACAUUUGAUUAGCUUGAAAAUAAAAUUAAAAUUUCUCUAAUUUUAUUCUAUUUACAGUAAAGUAGAAUAAUAAAUAAAUAUAAAUAUAAUAAUAUAUAUGUUAUUUCUUUUGAAUAAUUAAAUUAUUACUUCAUUUGAAAUUAGAAAAUGAAGUAGUGUAUUUUUGAUUAAUAACGAUAGAAAAAGGUUAGAAAAAUAUAUUUUUGAUUAAUAACGAUGAAAAAAAAAUUAAUGGAGAGAACUGAAGUUGUCCUUGCAUAGCUAAUAAAUAGUUUUAUAUAGACUUUGUUUUAUAAUUUUCCACAGACUACACAAAUUGUUAAUCUAAAUUGGUAUGUACCGAAUUUAGGUACGAAUUAAAUUCGAUACUAAAUUAUUUAGAAGAUGUUUACUGAGAAAUCAAAUGUUUGAUUUAAAGAGAAAAAAUCAAAUGUUUGAUUAUAAGAGAAAAUACUAGAAAUUUGUAUACAGUUUACGUAUUCUGCAAGAAGAAUUCCUUAUCUUAUACCGACUUAUGUUUUAUUAUGAACUCCUAUCUUCGAUAUAUGUUUUCUUUUGUUAUAGCCGGUUUUUUUUUCUUCUUCAAGUUGUAUAAACCGAUUCUAAAUUAACUGGGUGAAAUUUAAUGUAUUUAAUGGGGGCUUGUUUGAGAAAACCGAUUCUUAUUGGUUUUUCUUUUAAGUUCUACCGAUGUGUGUUUGUAUUAUAAUACACUUAACAUCAGUACAACAAGAAACUAAAUUUUCGAAUUUUUUUUGGUAUUUAAGUCUUUGGUGUGUUUCAAAAACAAAAAUGUCUUUGGUAUUAGAGUAUUAAGGUAGAGUGUUGUAUUUUUUGUUUUUGAAGUCUGAAAACUUGAUAACUUGAGCAUUUAUUCACUUCAACUAGUAGCGGGAGCCACACUAACAGAAACAUAAACAAAUCAAACGAUAAGCGAUUUGAACCGAGUAAACCCGGUUUAUUAUUAAUAGACUCGUAUUGGGUUCGUUCUUUUAGGUUCUACCGAAGUGGGUUGUACACAAAAAGAAAUACAAAUUUUGAUUUUGAUUUUGAUUUUGGUAUUUCAAGUCUUUGGUAUUAGGUAGAAUGUUGUAUUCAUUUUUGAAAUUUAGAAACCGACAACUUGAGCAUUUAUUCACUUCAAUUAUUAGCGGGAGCCACUAACCGAAGCUAUCAAAACAAAACAAAAACAAACCAAGCAAAACCGAAUUUAAACCGAUCUCAAAUCGAAUAAAUCCGGUUUAUUAAUUUUGGAAAGUCCAGUCCCAGAUCUCGUGACGCUCAACACCACGGCCCAUUGAACCGGCAAAACCGGCGUACAUCUUCUCGAGCAGAACAUUAGAGAGAUCGUACUUCGCUUCAAUCAAAGGCCGGUUCGGUUUCUUCAAAUGCGCGAGCCCGAUCGUAACCGAGAUCACUUUUAAAUUGUUGUUGUACUCGAUCCAAGCCGCGUACUUAUCUCCACUGCUCAGCUUCAAAUCCUUGAACAACCAACCGUUUCUUGUCAUGACCCAAUAACCGGAUUUAACCGAAGUCACAGAGUCGACCGAAUUAAUGUCGAUUCCGACAUGGUUAUCGUUGAUGUCUUUAAAAGACUUGUCCUGAAACACAUCGAACUCAACAGCAAAUAGGUGGUUACUUGGAUUACCGUUACUGGUUCGGUUCACGAGACUUAGGAAGCCUAAACCGGAACCGGCAUGUUGGUUACUUGGGACGACGAAGAAGGCGAGACCGUGACCAGGAGUAGGGUUUGUUUUGUGAGGAGUGAUGGAGAAAGUGAAAGAGGUCUUGAAAGAGUAAACAGAAGAAGCGUUGUUGGGAGGUUUGAAGGAGAUUGGGUUGAUGAGAAUGGCUCGACCAUGAGAGAAAGGAGUUUUGUCUUUGGUCAAUGAGAGAGAACCGGACCGGGUCGUGCCGUCGGUGUUGUGACCAUACUCUGCGUCUCCAUGGAACGAGAAGAGAUCGGUGCCGUUACCG